UCCCUGGUGGUCCAGUGGCUAAGGCUCCAUGCUCCCAAGGUGGGGGGCUCAGGUUCGAUCCCUGGCCAGGGAA
This 73-nucleotide transfer RNA is filed under the name Bos taurus (domestic cattle). It matches the Rfam family "tRNA". Rfam says of the family: Transfer RNA (tRNA) molecules are approximately 80 nucleotides in length. Their secondary structure includes four short double-helical elements and three loops (D, anti-codon, and T loops). RNAcentral also lists the same sequence under 4 other names. The record is from Rfam by way of RNAcentral. Lineage: Eukaryota; Metazoa; Chordata; Mammalia; Artiodactyla; Bovidae.